UAGUUGUGGUGGGGUAAUGGCUACCAAGGCUGCGAUCUAUAGCCGGGCUGAGAGGCUGACCUGGCCACAUUUGUGUGGACUGAGACACGGCCAGACUCCUACGGAGGCAGCAGCUAAGAAUCUUCCGCAAUAGUCGAUAGACUGACGGAGCGACGCCGCGUGAGUGAUGAAGGCCUUUUAGGUUGUAAAACUCUUUUAUAUUGGAAGAAUAUAUACGUAUUAGACUAUAUUGACUGUACUUUAUGAAUAAGGUCCGGCUAACUACGUGCCAGCAGCCGCGGUAAUACGUAGUGGGACCCCUGAGCGUUGUUCGGAAUUAUUGGGCUGUACAAGGGUAUGUAGGCGGUCUAUUAAGUUAGAUGUGAAAAAUUUGGGCUCAACCGAGAUCUUGCGUCUAAUACUGAUAGGCUAGAGUCUCUGAGAGGAAGUGCGGAAUUCCUGGUGUAGGGGUGAAAUCUAUAGAUAUCAGGAAGAACACCGGUUGCGAAGGCGGCCUUCUGGCAGAGGACUGACGCUGAGGUACGAAAGUUAGGGUAGCAAACAGGAUUAGAGACCCUGGUAGUCCUAACCGUAAACGUUGUAUACUAGGUGGUUGAAGUAUUGAUCCUUUGACUGCCGCAGCAAACGCAUUAAGUAUACCGCCUGGGGAGUACGCCGGCAACGGUGAAACUCAAAGGAAUUGACGGGGCCCCGCACAAGCAGUGGAGCAUGUUGCUUAAUUCGAUGAUACGCGAGUAACCUUACCAGGUCUUGACAUAUACCUGUCUGGUGUAGAAAUACAUCAUUGCUUCGGCACGGGUAUACAGGUGCUGCAUGGUUGUCGUCAGCUCGUGCCGUGAGGUGUUGGGUUAAGUCCCGCAACGAGCGCAACCCUUAUUCUUUGUUGCUAACAGGUUAAGCUGAGCACUCUAAGGAGACUGCCGGUGACAAACCGGAGGAAGGUGGGGACGACGUCAAAUCAUCACGGCCCUUAUGACCUGGGCUGCAAACGUGCUACAAUGGGUGGUACAAAGAGUUGCGAGACCGCGAGGUGGAGCUAAUCUCAAAAAACUAUCCUCAGUUCGGAUUGGAGUCUGAAACCCGACUCUAUGAAGUUGGAAUUGCUAGUAAUCGCACAUCAUCAUGGUGCGCUGAAUACGUUCCACGGGGCUUGUACACACCGCCCGUCGCAUCACCCGAGUUGAAUAUACCCGAAGUACCUGAGCUAAC
This 1209-nucleotide ribosomal RNA is filed under the name uncultured organism. RNAcentral's name for it is "bacterial SSU rRNA". It matches the Rfam family "Bacterial small subunit ribosomal RNA", at positions 246 to 1439 of the family's 1533-position model. The record is from RNAcentral.